RNAcentral lists this ribosomal RNA (867 nucleotides) under Triticum aestivum (bread wheat). RNAcentral describes it as "partial small subunit ribosomal RNA". Lineage: Eukaryota; Viridiplantae; Streptophyta; Magnoliopsida; Poales; Poaceae. The record is from RNAcentral.
AUGCGUGGCAUCCUACCUGACGAGAAGACAUUGCAUCAUAGACAUAUUCGAGAUGUCAGUUUAUGCAAACUCUGUCAAGCACAUGAAGAAGAUCUUGGACAUGCAUUAAUUCAUUGUUCGCAUGCUAGACAGUUCUGGGACGAAGCGCGUCCUGUUCUGGAUAUCAAGCUACCGCGACUGCAGCCCUCUUCAUGGGCUGGCGAUAUCUUAUGUGGGUCUAUGUUCACCGACAAGGAACGAGCAACUAUAAUCACCAUUAUGUGGUCCAUUUGGAGUUCCCGCAAUAGAUGGUCGCAUGAUGGAGAUAAGUUUGAUCCGGUGAAGUCCGUCAAACUCACUAGAGAGACUUUGGCUCUACUUGAUGUACCUAAGCAGCAAGCUGCAAUGCUACCGGGACAUGGCUGGCGGCCACCUGAACUGAAUCAAGUAAAAAUCAACACCGAUGCAGUUGUGCGAUUCGUGGAGCAGAAAAGUGGCGCCGGUGGUGUAGCCCACUCCCAAACAGCACUGAUGGGUGCUUGGUGCAAGCCCCAUCUGGGGGUCACUGAUCCUAUGAUCGCCGAGGCACUAGCCCUAUGGGAUGGAGUAAUCUUCGCCAACCUGAGAGGUUAUGCUAACGUGAUAAUGGAGACCGACAGUCUGGAGAUUGUGAAUCUCUGGAACACUCGACAUAACAGCCGCUCUGUUGUGGCACCAGUUUUCUUUGAAAUUGAUGAGCUAGCGGAUAAUUUCCACUUUUUUGUAAUCCAACAUGUUAGUAGAUCCGCAAACGGUCUAGCACACCUGUGUGCUCAGCGUGCAUGUAAUGUGUCUGUAACCGAGAGUUGGCUCUCUGAGACUUCAAGUUUCCUGAUAAGUAGUGGCUGA